MicroRNA precursor from Pteropus vampyrus (large flying fox), 84 nucleotides. Lineage: Eukaryota; Metazoa; Chordata; Mammalia; Chiroptera; Pteropodidae. The record is from Ensembl.
UCACCUGGGUGUCUUGUUAAAGAGGAGUCCAAUUCAAUGGAGCCCGAGAAUCUGCAUUUCUAACAAGCUCCUGGGUGAUCCUAA